Long non-coding RNA from Rhincodon typus (whale shark), 276 nucleotides. RefSeq lists it as uncharacterized. NCBI's taxonomy places the organism in Eukaryota, Metazoa, Chordata, Chondrichthyes, Orectolobiformes, Rhincodontidae. The transcript is spliced from 3 exons. The record is from RefSeq and is a predicted model, not a curated record.
CAGCAUGAAAAGGUGCAACGGUGCACAGCAGUGCCAGGGAUUGGGGACUGUAAUGCCGAUCAUCAUAGAGCAAUAAUAAUGGGCAGGGAUCAAGGGGCGCCAGCGUUUAGCCAGCUGGGCUUUCCGUGUACGAAAAUCGGGAUGUGAGUGGAAUCUCGUCCUUCAGACCUCCAUGGUCCAGGCACAGACUUCUGGAACUGGAAGUCAAUGUUGGGAAUGGUGUGACUGUGUGGCUGCACAGCUUAGAGGGAACAUCACUCCAUUAGGAUCUCUGAG